GAGGAAUAGAGAUCCACAAGGCAGCAACUAACAAAAUUUCAUUUCUGCCACUGCUCAGUAGUCUUCUUUACUAAUACUUGAAAACGCCUCUCAUGUGUGUAUAUAUCCUUCUUCAGCAGAGCGGGAAAAAGCAGCCCAGUGAAGUGGCAAGCAGCGCAAACCACUAACGUCGCCGUUACAUCGUGCUUUAGGGUUUUCCGUUAAUGGAUCAAGAUCAGCAAUGGCUACUCAAUUGUUUGUCUGCCACACUCGACCCCAACCCCGAGGUUCGAUGUUUCGCCGAAGCAUCCCUCGAUCAGGCCUCUCGCCAACCAGGUUUUGGCAGUGCAUUAUCAAAAGUUACUGCAAACAAGGAGCUCGCGGUGGGACUGCGUCAGUUAGCUGCUGUCCUUAUUAAGCAGUUAGUUAAAAAGCAUUGGCAGGAGGGUGAGGACACUUUUGAACCUCCUGUUAUCUCUACUGAUGAAAAGGAAAUCAUCCGAAGAAUGCUUCUAUUGGCAUUGGAUGAUCCUCAUAGAAAAAUUUGCACGGCCAUUGGUAUGGCUGUUGCAUCCAUUGCAGUGCAUGACUGGCCAGAGUUAUGGCCAGAUUUGUUACCAUUUCUUCUAAAUUUGAUCAAUAACCAAGCCAACUUGAAUGGAGUGCAUGGCGCUAUGAGAUGCUUGACUCUUCUCUCUGCGGACUUGGAUGAUAAAAUGGUUCCAACAUUAAUACCUGCUCUCUUCCCGAGUUUGCUGACAAUUGUAUCAUCUCCCCAGAAAUAUGACACAUACAUUCGAUCAAAGGCCCUUUCUAUAAUCUAUUCUUGUACAUCUAUGCUGGGGACAAUGAGUGGUGUCUACAAGGCAGAAACAAGUUCUCUGAUAGCUCCUUUGGUUAAACCAUGGAUGGGCCAAUUCUCGUCUAUUCUAGAAAUUCCAGUUCAAUCUGAAAAUCCCGAUGAUUGGAGUAUCAAAAUGGAGGUUUUGAAGUGCUUGAAUCAGUUCAUUCAAAAUUUUUCAAGUCUCUUUAAAAGUGAAUUUGAGGUUAUACUAGGACCUCUGUGGAAUACAUUUGUCUCUUCUUUGAGAGUUUAUGAGAAAGCUGCUAUUGAAGGAACUGAAGAUUCAUAUGAUGGAAGAUAUGAUUCUGAUGGUUCAGAGAAAAGCCUUGAUUCAUUUGUUAUCCAGCUCUUUGAACUCAUGUUGACUAUUGUGGGUAAUACAAGACUGAGAAAGGUGGUUGGGGGUAAUAUCAGAGAAUUGGUGUACUAUACUAUUGCUUUUCUUCAGAUGACAGAACAGCAGGUUCAUACAUGGUCUGCGGAUGCUAACCAGUUCAUUGCUGAUGAAGAUGAUGCCACUUAUAGCUGCCGCAACUCUGGUGUGCUUUUACUGGAAGAGGUUGUGAAUUCUUUUGACGAUGAAGGAAUUUGUGCUAUCAUAGACAGUACAAAGCAAUGGUUGGACGACUCUCAAAUCAGAAAAGCAGCUGGCAAUGCAAGCUGGUGGAGGAUAAGAGAAGCUACUCUGUUUGCCCUAUCAUCUCUUUCAGAACAACUAUUUGAGACAGAGGAAACCAGGGUUUAUUCAAGUCACUUGAAGGACCUGCUUGAGCAGAUUUUUGCAGUAGACUCUCUAAUAGGUUCUCUUGAAUUCCCAUUUUUAUAUGCUCGUAUUUUUACUUCAGUUGCUAAAUUUUCUUCUUUGAUAAGCAGUGGCUUAGUAGAGCAUUAUCUCUAUUUAGCAAUGAAGGCAGUUACAAUUGAUGUGCCUCCACCUGUAAAAGUAGGUGCCUGUAGAGCACUUUCUAACCUCCUUCCUGAAGCAACGAAUGAAGUUAUCCAAUCGCAGUUGUUGGGUUUAUUUUCAUCCCUCACUGAUCUCCUUAAUCAUGCAUCAGAGGAAACCUUGCACCUGGUACUUGAUACACUGCUUGCUGCAGUGAAAGCAGGUCGUGAAUCAUCAACAGUAGUUGAAAACAUGAUUUCUCCUGUAAUCCUUAAUGUGUGGGCAUCGCAUGUUUCGGAUCCUUUUAUCAGUAUUGAUGCACUUGAAAUUCUUGAGACGAUCAAAAGCAUUCCUGGAUGCAUACAUCCAUUGGUUGCCAGAAUUUUGCCGUAUGUUGGACCAAUUUUGAAUAAACCCCAAGAGCAAACUGAAGGCUUGGUAUCUGGUUCACUAGAUCUGGUAACAAUGUUACUAAAGAAUGCCCCUGCUGAUGUAGUGAAAGCAAUAUAUGAUGUCUCUUUUAAUGCUGUUGUCAAAAUAAUCCUACAAAGUGAUGACCAUAGUGAAAUUCAGAAUGCUACAGAGUGUUUAUCUGCAUUUAUAUCUGGGGGAAGACAAGAAAUUCUUGCGUGGGGAUCUGAUUCUGGAUCAACUAUGAGAAGUUUACUUGAUAUAGCUUCAAGAUUACUAAACCCGGAAUUGGAAAGCUCUGGGUCUCUCUUUGUUGGGAGUUACAUUCUUCAACUUAUUUUGCAUUUGCCAUCACAUAUGGCGGUACAUAUACGAGACUUGGUUGCUGCACUUGUCAAACGAAUGCAAUCUGCUCAAAACGCUGUCCUACGAAGCUCAUUGCUAAUUGUUUUUGCUAGACUGGUACACAUGAGCGUUCCUAAUGUUGGAGAUUUCAUUGAUUUGAUGAUCUCAAUUCCUGCGGAUGGACAUGACAAUUCGUUUGCUUAUGUGAUUUCAGAAUGGACCAAGCUGCAGGGCGACAUACAGGGAGCAUAUCAAAUAAAAGUAACUACAAGUGCCUUGGCCUUGUUGCUAACCAGCAGGCACAAUGAAUUGGGAAAAAUACAUGUCCAAGGCCAUCUAAUUAAGUCUGGUGAGGGAGUGACCACAAGAUCAAAAGCUAAAUCAGCUCCGAAUCAAUGGGUAAUAUUACCACUUCCCACCAAGAUAAAAAACACCAAGAGAGUCAUGGAGAGUAGAUUCAGUAGAAACAUUGGUGAAUGAACAUGGAAGAGCAAUUGAGGAAACGAGGAGGGAAUCUAGAACCAACUUUCAAAGGCUCAUCGAUAUGAUGGAGGAUGUUUUGUGCAGAGUUAAGAACAUAGAAAAGCAGAGGUUCUAUAAACGGGGGAUAGAGUUGGAAGAAGGGAAGAGAUUGGCGAAGAAUAGGAGGAAGACAAAAGGGAGUACCAGCGGGGGUGGAUGAAAAGAGUGGAACUUCCUUCGUUUGAAGGAGGGGAUCCAAUUGGGUGGAUAUCUAGGGCUAAAAAAUUCUUUGAAGUACAAGAGGUCUCACCUAGCGAGAGAUUCAAGUUGGCUUUCAUCAAUAUGGAAGUACGAGCCACUAAUUGGUUCAUAUUUUGGAGAAAGAAAACAAAAAAUCCUUCAUGGGAGGAAUUGACGAAAGCUUUAAUUAGAAGGUUUGGAGGAACGGAUAGAUGCUUGGUGUUUGAAAAAUUGGUUGUCGUCAGACAGAAAGGAGAAGUGGAGGAAUACAUACAGGUAUUUGAGAUGUUAGUUGGACAAGCAACAGACUUGACAGAAGAACAGUUGAUGGGGUACUUCUUUGCGGGUCGGCAUGUUAAUAUUAGAAAUUGGAUCCGACCACACAAUCCCAAGGAUCUAUUGAGAGCCAUGGAGAUCGCUAGAGAUGUGGAAGGAGUUUCAAGAGAUGUAAGCAAGGUUAUCAAACUCUCGAGUUAACUCGUUAACUCAGACGAGUUUGCAUUCCUAGUCUUGGCUUUCGAGUUAACUUGGAAGCAAACAUGGUUUUCGAGUAAACUCGGUGGAAUCGUAACUGAACACGGUGGAAUCGUUUUGAAUCGCGAUUUUGCAAGUUUGAAAUAGGGAGAAACAAAGAAAGGGGAAAUCCUUUUGAGUUUAGGGCACCGUUGCGUUUCUUUCGCUGUUGUUCGUGGUUGUGCCUCGUUGGCUCGUCGUUCACAUGACUUGUGGUCAUGCUCCGUUUGCAUGGUUCACGCUCACCGUUGUGCUUGCUGAUGUGCUUGCCGCCACUCCUGCUCUCGCCUCCUUCGAGCUCUACGUGUGAUAGUGGCUUUGUUGGCGGAUGCAUUAACUGAAAUACAAGAACAAGUUUUGGAAGCUGAUGAUGUGGAUAGUGACUGGGAAGAAGUUGAAGCGGAUGGUAUCGAAAAUGAUAGAGAUUUUCUUU
This is an RNA transcript of Vigna angularis (adzuki bean), 4113 nucleotides long. RefSeq lists it as uncharacterized. The transcript is spliced from 31 exons. The record is from RefSeq and is a predicted model, not a curated record. NCBI's taxonomy places the organism in Eukaryota, Viridiplantae, Streptophyta, Magnoliopsida, Fabales, Fabaceae.